This 505-nucleotide ribosomal RNA is filed under the name uncultured bacterium. RNAcentral describes it as "partial 16S ribosomal RNA". It matches the Rfam family "Bacterial small subunit ribosomal RNA", at positions 28 to 507 of the family's 1533-position model. The record is from RNAcentral.
GACGAACGCUGGCGGCGUGCCUAAUACAUGCAAGUAGAACGCACAGUUUAUACCGUAGCUUGCUACACCAUAGACUGUGAGUUGCGAACGGGUGAGUAACGCGUAGGUAACCUGCCUGGUAGCGGGGGAUAACUAUUGGAAACGAUAGCUAAUACCGCAUAAUAUUGAUUAUUGCAUGAUAAUUGAUUGAAAGAUGCUAUUGCAUCACUACCAGAUGGACCUGCGUUGUAUUAGCUAGUAGGUGAGGCAACGGCUCACCUAGGCGACGAUACAUAGCCGACCUGAGAGGGUGAUCGGCCACACUGGGACUGAGACACGGCCCAGACUCCUACGGGAGGCAGCAGUAGGGAAUCUUCGGCAAUGGACGAAAGUCUGACCGAGCAACGCCGCGUGAGUGAAGAAGGGUUUCGGAUCGUAAAGCUCUGUUGUAAGAGAAGAACGGGUGUGAGAGUGGAAAGUUCACACUGUGACGGUAGCUUACCAGAAAGGGACGGCUAACUACGUG